AGAGUUUGAUCAUGGCUCAGGACGAACGCUGGCGGCGUGCCUAAUACAUGCAAGUCGAACGCAAAACUUUCACCGAAUGCUUGCAUUCACGAAAGUUUUGAGUGGCGAACGGGUGAGUAACACGUGGGUAACCUGCCCAGAAGAGGGGGAUAACACUUGGAAACAGGUGCUAAUACCGCAUAAUAACAAAAACCGCAUGGUUUUUGUUUGAAAGAUGGUUUUGCUAUCACUUCUGGAUGGACCCGCGGCGUAUUAGCUAGUUGGUAAGGUAAAGGCUUACCAAGGCAAUGAUACGUAGCCGAACUGAGAGGUUGAUCGGCCACAUUGGGACUGAGACACGGCCCAAACUCCUACGGGAGGCAGCAGUAGGGAAUCCUCCACAAUGGACGAAAGUCUGAUGGAGCAACGCCGCGUGAGUGAAGAAGGUUUUCGGAUCGUAAAACUCUGUUGUUGGAGAAGAACGUAUUUGAUAGUAACUGAUCAGGUAGUGACGGUAUCCAACCAGAAAGCCACGGCUAACUACGUGCCAGCAGCCGCGGUAAUACGUAGGUGGCAAGCGUUGUCCGGAUUUAUUGGGCGUAAAGCGAGCGCAGGCGGUUUCUUAAGUCUGAUGUGAAAGCCUUCGGCUCAACCGAAGAAGUGCAUCGGAAACUGGGAAACUUGAGUGCAGAAGAGGACAGUGGAACUCCAUGUGUAGCGGUGAAAUGCGUAGAUAUAUGGAAGAACACCAGUGGCGAAGGCGGCUGUCUGGUCUGUAACUGACGCUGAGGCUCGAAAGCAUGGGUAGCAAACAGGAUUAGAUACCCUGGUAGUCCAUGCCGUAAACGAUGAGUGCUAGGUGUUGGAGGGUUUCCGCCCUUCAGUGCCGCAGCUAACGCAUUAAGCACUCCGCCUGGGGAGUACGACCGCAAGGUUGAAACUCAAAGGAAUUGACGGGGGCCCGCACAAGCGGUGGAGCAUGUGGUUUAAUUCGAAGCAACGCGAAGAACCUUACCAGGUCUUGACAUCCUUUGACCACUCUAGAGAUAGAGUUUUCCCUUCGGGGACAUGGAUACAGGUGGUGCAUGGUUGUCGUCAGCUCGUGUCGUGAGAUGUUGGGUUAAGUCCCGCAACGAGCGCAACCCUUAUUAUCAGUUGCCAGCAUUAAGUUGGGCACUCUGGUGAGACUGCCGGUGACAAACCGGAGGAAGGUGGGGAUGACGUCAAAUCAUCAUGCCCCUUAUGACCUGGGCUACACACGUGCUGCAAUGGGCAGUACAACGAGAAGCGAGCCUGCGAAGGCAAGCGAAUCUCUGAAAGCUGUUCUCAGUUCGGACUGCAGUCUGCAACUCGACUGCACGAAGCUGGAAUCGCUAGUAAUCGCGGAUCAGCACGCCGCGGUGAAUACGUUCCCGGGCCUUGUACACACCGCCCGUCACACCAUGGGAGUCUGCAAUGCCCAAAGCCGGUGGCCUAACCUUCGGGAAGGAGCCGUCUAAGGCAGGGCAGAUGACUGGGGUGAAGUCGUAACAAGGUAACC
RNAcentral lists this ribosomal RNA (1519 nucleotides) under uncultured Bacillus sp. RNAcentral's name for it is "bacterial SSU rRNA". It matches the Rfam family "Bacterial small subunit ribosomal RNA". Lineage: Bacteria; Bacillati; Bacillota; Bacilli; Caryophanales; Bacillaceae. The record is from RNAcentral.